RNAcentral lists this transfer RNA (72 nucleotides) under Spirochaetaceae bacterium. RNAcentral describes it as "tRNA-Gln". It matches the Rfam family "tRNA". Rfam says of the family: Transfer RNA (tRNA) molecules are approximately 80 nucleotides in length. Their secondary structure includes four short double-helical elements and three loops (D, anti-codon, and T loops). Lineage: Bacteria; Pseudomonadati; Spirochaetota; Spirochaetia; Spirochaetales; Spirochaetaceae. The record is from RNAcentral. RNAcentral also lists the same sequence under 1 other name.
UUCCCGGUGGUGUAAUUGGUAACACACAAGACUCUGGAUCUUGGUUUGGGGGUUCGAGUCCUCCCCGGGAAG